Heterocephalus glaber (naked mole-rat) is the source of this 4087-nucleotide long non-coding RNA. NCBI's taxonomy places the organism in Eukaryota, Metazoa, Chordata, Mammalia, Rodentia, Bathyergidae. The record is from Ensembl.
UGGCUUCCUGACAGUUUACUUUUCAUAAGACUCUGCGUAAGUUCUGAAAAUUCUCACAUCACCAGAGUGACAGAGAUCCACCUAUUAGUAUCUGAAUAAUAAGUCAUCGACUUUUUUUUUCAAGCUGAAAAUAUCUUUAUUUAAGACAUUUUAUUUGAAAACACUCUGGGUUGUAACUAUCCCAAACAAGCAAUAAAUGCACAUAAAUUAUCUGUGGUAAUGAUUCACUCUUAGGCUACAUUCCUUAGCAACUCUGAACUCAAGAGAAUGAACACAUAUUUCAAGUGUCCGAAUUAAGUAGAAUUACGAAAAACUGGAGAGCAAAAUAUUUUUUUAAAGGAUGAAAAUGUCUAAACCCAUGCAAGGUCAAGCUGAAAUGACCUUUACUUGGGCAGGGUCCUGUGGUCUGUACUCUGCUGCUGCCUUCCUUUCACACGGUGAUGCCACCUAUUCGCCAAGCGGAUUCAGUGUCUGAAUCUAGAAAUGUGGUUCAAGCCAGAAGGUUUUCUGAUCAUGAAAGAAGCAUUUCUCAUCUUGUCUAAACUACACCCUCUUUAAAAAUCAUAACUGUAAAACUUCCUGUAACAUACCCGGAGUUCUGAAUAAAUAAUAGUAAACCAAAGUAACUUUAAAAGUUUAAAUUUUUCCCUUUUAAAGUUUUGCUUUACACAUCAGUCAUGUGGGAUUGAUGUUAACCUUGUGCCUGGUUGCUGGCUACAAGCCUUUCUCUUCCAGGUCACUGAGGAGGGCAGAUAAGUAAGAGUUUAUUUUCAACAUCAACUCUCUCUGCUGCUUGUUCAAGUGAUAUGCAUGUAUGUCCUGGGGCUUCUCUGGUUGGGGCGGGUGAGAGGUAAAACAAGCAGGCUUCUUCCCUUGGGACUCGGGACAAUCUGUAACCCACUGCUGGCCUCAGGCAUGGGGAGGGAUACAGGAUUUCACUUCACCUUCAAGCCAUCCUUCUUCUAGUCCUUGGGGUUUCGUGCGCCUAUUGAUCUUGUAGCUGCCCAGCUGCCCAUUGCAGUGGCGGAUGAGGUCGUCCAUGCUGCUCAUGAGCAGCCCGAGGGUUUCGCAGCCAGGCUCCUUGCCCUCCACCCAGGUGAUCUGGUCGCCCCGGAUGUCCUUGGACGAGUCGCUCUUCUGGCUGACCAGCUGCCCGUCCGUGAACUUGCCGGUGUCGUGCAGCGCGCGUCUCGCGGCCCAGGAAGUCGUCUGUCACGCAGAUGCCGUGCUUGUUCAUGCACGGCACGAUGUACUGGAGCGCCAGCUUCAGCGCGGUCAGCGGCUUCGUCUGCCCGUUGGGCCGCGGUCCCCUGGUGCCGCCGCCAGGGUUCAGCGCCUCCCCGGGGCUCAGCAGGGUGCGCCCGGCGAACACCGGGUGGGGGAGCCUCGAGGUCGCGGCGGCCUCUGCUGGGGCCCCCAGCGGCGUCCCCGGGGACGGACACUGACAUGGGAUCGGCGCCGUCCCCGCGCAGUCCCGCCGUUGUCCGGGCCGCUCCCCCAACCCCAGGAGCCCCUUUGGGCCUGGCCUCGCCGCUCUGGCACACGAGCUUGUGCUUCUUCCAGUCCCGGCGCUGGUGCUCCUUGGAGCAGUAGAAAGAGCUCCGGCAGCGGCCGCAGCACAGCAGGUUCUCUAUCUUCCCGCACAGCUCGUAGUACUGGCGCUUGCGCUCGCUGGCGCUUGGCCCGCUGAGCCCGCCGCUGUCACUCGCCUUGGCAGAGCAGGCCGGGCGGCCGGCCCGGGGCGGCAGAGGGGCCGUUAGAGCGUCCGUCAGAGCGUCAUGCCGGGCCGCGCGCUCCGGAGACCCUCAGCGCCGCAUCGCGGCCCGCACGACCACAUCAUAGCUAUCAAGAAUACUGAAGGCAUUGAACUUGAACUGGGCCACAUUCUUCUGUGAAAAACGGAGGCUGACAUACGUACUGUCUUUGAUACACCUGAUAGGGGAAAAAAAAUCCAGGCCAAAAAGAUUAACUUAAGGUGUUGGGUAAUUUAUCUCAGCAAUGAGAAAAAUAAGUAAGACAAAUUUUGGUACUGGGACUGGGGCUGUUGCUGUGAUACUACCUGGACAUGUGGUUCAAGAGUCUUUGGAACUGUCUUGCAGGAAGAAUUUGGAAAGGUUUGGAGGUGCUAGUUGAAGAAGCAGCCCUAGAAUGCUGUAAAAUGAACUUGAUGGGAGAUUCUGGUCAGAGCUCAGAAGACCAGAAUGCUGACAGAAAUGUAACUGGUGAAGACCAGGCUCAGGAGGUUUCAGUUAGAAGCAAGGACUGCAUUGGCUAUUGGACUCCAGACCACAUGUGUUAUCCUUUGGCAGAAAAUGUGUCUGCUUUUUUUUUUUCUUGUUCAGAGAUGCUCCCUAUGACUGAGAUUAAGGGUGGUAGACUAAUUAAUCUGGUGGAAGAAAUUUCAAGACACUCUAAUGUUGAGGCAGUGCCAUGGCUACUGUUGGGGACUUUUAGCCAGACUUAUGUUGAAAAGCCAAAGCAAAGAGUUGAAAAGAAUGAUUUUAAAUGCUUUAAGUUUGGCUAGAAAGGAAGUUCUAGUAAAGUUGUGGACUGAAUAGAUAGAGCAGAGGAAAACUUGGUUGCUGGAAAGGAACAGGACAAUAGAAAAGAUGGCCUGAGGACAUCACAAGAACCAGAAGGACUCCUUCCUCUGCAGCCUCAAAAUUGUAAAGGUGAAAAACUUUGCUUUGAGAAGAGAGCCCCAAAUCACCAGAUCCCAGAAUGGCAGUGGUGUAGGGAAUUUGUUCCUCAGGAAUGGGUGCAUAGCAUUCAGCAACUCAGGCACUUGACCCCCACAACCAAGAGAGAAGGAAGUCUAGCUACCACUCCAACUGGUGGCAGACCUUGGUGUCAUUCACACAGUACUGGUUUUAGGUGCAUGCAGAAUGCAAGAACUAUGGGGUCAGGGCUUCCACCUAGAUUGCAGAAGAAGGCCUGGGAGGCCAGGAAGUGUGCCCCUGAGAGGGCAGUGUGUGAAUCUGUGAGUGUGAAGCUGAAGGUGCAGUGGAGAACCCAGAAGGCUGGAGAAGCCAGGAAUGUUGAUUGUGUGAGGAGAGCUGCAAGGGAUGACCAAAGCCUGCCCAGGAGAGAAGCCAUGAGAGCUGUAACCACUGAUGGUGCCAUAGGGGCAGAGCCACCAAAGCUCUUUGGAGUUCACAUCUUGCCCCAGAUUGCCCCAGAUUGUCCCAGAUACUGGAUAUGGAUCUACAGGACUUAAUGUUUGCCCUGCUGGAUUUUGGACUUGCUUUGGUCUCACUCCUUUGUAUCCUUCUAUUUCUACCUUUUGGAAUGGCAAUGUUUAUAUUGUGCCAUUGUAUGUUGGAAGUGUUUAACUUUGUUUUCAUUUGUACAGGGAUUUGGAGCUAAGAGUUUGCCUUAAUCUCAUAGGAGACUUUAGACUUGGACUUUUCAGCAAUGCUGAAACUAGUAGGACUUUGGCAACUCUUCGAGAUGGACUAAAUGCCUUUUGCAUAAAGGGAUACAUAUGAGUCUUUUGGAGGCCAGGGGAAAUGUUAUGGUUUGUAUCUAGAUGUCUCCCUAAAGUCUCAUGCAUUCAUAACAGGAUUUUUGGAAGUGGCUAGGAUGUGUGAUUCUGGGAUAAAGGGUGUGUGAUAACUAAAUGAGUUUUAGUAAAGUUCUGGGUGUGGAUAAUGGAAGCCUCAACCUGGGUGUGGGUGGCACCAAUCAAUAGGCUUAUAGCCUGGAUGGACUAUAAAGUGAUAGAGGAAAGGCAGGUUGCUUUGGUUCACUGCUUGGCUACCUUCUGCCUUCCAUGCCAUGAAUUGUUUCUUCUCUGCCAUGUCCAUCUGCCUGUCACCCCACCUUGGAGCCAGCUGACUAUAAACUGAAACCUUUACACACUGUGAGCCCAAAUAAACCUUUCUUUUGUUAACUUGUGGGUGUUGGGUAUUUUGUCCCUGCAACAAAAAAGUUACAAAAACAGUCAGUAACUGACAGGCCCAGCAAGCAUAAAAUCAGUCAUAAUACAGGUGACCCAAAGAACACUAUGAAUUCACUGGAUCUAAUUAGAAUAUAUAUAUAACACUCCAUCCAAUGACAGCAGAAUACAUAUUCUUCUCAAGCCCAC